UGCUAAUAUAUGGGGCCAGUUUUCCCUCUGACCCUCAGUACUUCGCUUCCCUUUCUUCUGCACACCAGUGGUAUGGCUUCCAGCAGUGCAUUUUGCUUAAAGAUGAUGGAACCUCUGCAAUUUUAAAUAGACACCUAUGGGAAGGAUCCUAUAGAUGGCUUGAACUUAUGGAAGCAUCAAAAGGAAGGUCAGGAGUGCUCUGUCUGCAUUUCUCUGCUGCUGAGUGAAUGCUGAGUAACAGAUCCAGGCAAACCAUUUUGAUAGGCUGUGGCUGGAUUCAACACAAGCUAACAGAACUGAUGAAACUCUGUGGUCAAAAUCUGAACUUCUUGACACCAGUCACUGGAUUCCUCUAAUAUCACAGAAAGUAAAAUGGUUCAUCACUGAAGCAGCUCUUUUACCAAUCUCAUUUUAACCAGCAUGCAUUAUUCCUGAAUGUGGUAGGCUAUUCUGUCAUAUAAACAGCCAUCAAAAGCUUGCUUAAAUCUAGACUGCAGAACAUUUGUAAAGCAAACAGUACGUGCAUGAUUAAUCUUUUCAGGAAACAAUUUUGCCAUUCAGUUUAUCCAAGACUCCAGCAGAGGGAGCAGGGCAGUGCAAACAAUUAAGGUCAAAAAGAAAGUAAAGAUCAAAGAUCAGAUCAAACAAACACAGAGCUGAAUUAAUCUGACAAGUACCUGACAUUUUAUUUUAGGUACAACGAUUUUGGUGCUGUGCUUUUUUUGUGUAUCAAAUUCACAAUGCUCUGUAGGUGAAAUUACCCAUGUACUUUCAAAGCUGAUUCAUGGCUCUUCGCUUGGCAUUGAAGACUCAGUCUGUGUUUAUGCAAUCUACUGUUUGGCAACCUCAUUUCAAGGCCAGUGACCCACCACUUCUUGUGAUUGUUACAAUGAUCUGCAGAAAAUCUCUUCAGGAUAAACAGUUAAUGGGCACCGUUCAGCCACAGCUACUGCUACAUCUUAGUUUCAAGUAUCAAAUACCAGUUUGGGAUCUUCCUGGAGAUAACACAGAGCAAUAUUAUGAGACAUCAGUAGGCAAAACAAAUCUUUAACAAAUGUAAACCAGCAAGAAUUUACUAGCAACAACUGGCAGCAGAACCAUAUAUACGCACACAGGUGCGUAUAUGACAUAAGUGUGUUCCCUAUAGUGCACCUGUCCUGCUCUUUUUUGAACACAAAAUGAACUUUCCAAGAUCUCGAUUCUUUUCUCUAGCAAUUCCAAAUGCCAUAAAAAUGCUGGAAAGAAUCAGUCGUCCUAUUAUUUACAUGACUUACAACUCACAGCACAGCAAAUCAAUGUCAGCACUGCAGCAGAGCCUGGAGGCAAACACCUGGCUCCACUGAUGCUGGAAGCAGAGUUCUCACUGACAUUCAUAGAAGCAGGACAUCUUCCUGCAGUGCUUCGUGCCAGCUUCUACCCAAUAGGCAGUUUUGCAUAGCCAAUGGAAAUCGUGCAGCAGCACAUCUCUGCCUGGAGUAGUGAUAGGGGUACUGCUGGGUUCACUGGGAAGAUUGCUACCUAUUUUUUUUCUAGCUCUUUUAUUUUAUCAUUUCUAAAAUCUGUUGAAUUAAAGAUAGAAUGGAUGGUAAGGAGAGAGAGGCACAAUAUUAGCUGCUGAAAAUCAAGAUUAUUGUUUUUUCCAGGUAAGAGGGUUCAGAAAAUGUAAGGGAGUGGUUUAUCUCAGUUUAUUUUACUUCCAUAUUGUUCACCAUUAAAGCCUUUAUUUCUUUUCCUUAUAAUGGCUGCUUCAGUUUACUUGGGUACUUAUGUUUUAAUUCCUAAUUUAUUUCCAAAGCAACUUAUUGGGUCUGCUUAUUUUAACUUUCCUCCUCCUCUCAAACCUUUUCUCGAUUUUUGUCUUACGUGAGGUUCAGGUUUCCAGUCAGCUCUACCAGGAGCACAGAAAAUCUACUCACAAUGAUCUACACUGUGAUAGCUCUUUAUAGGUGAAGAGGAAUUAACAUUUUGGAACUAAAGGCUCAGCCUCUAUGACACUCUGUGAGAUCUUCUCAAGGUUUAAUUUACCUUGUGAUGGUCAAGUUGCACAAGUGAUCACUGCCUACCUGAUGCAACUCUUCCAUAAGAGCAUAGAAUCUCCUCAUACAAAAGCAGAAGAAACCAAAACAAACUUUUUUUGUAAGCUGUGAAGAGUAACAGAUUUAGAAUUUCCUGGAAAGACAAGUUUCCUACGAAGAAAAACAAUUUAGAUGGAGAGGUGCUCCAAGAAAAAGUGCCUUCUAUGGUGCCAGCUCAUGUCUACAUUAGCAGGUCUUCUUCAAAGAGACUGCCAGCCACAUUUAAACAAUAUAAAAUAUAAAAAUUAAUGUAAAAAUAAAUAUUCUAAAUCCCAA
Long non-coding RNA from Tympanuchus pallidicinctus (lesser prairie-chicken), 2351 nucleotides. RefSeq lists it as uncharacterized. The transcript has 3 exons. The record is from RefSeq and is a predicted model, not a curated record. Lineage: Eukaryota; Metazoa; Chordata; Aves; Galliformes; Phasianidae.